AGGAUAAACGCUGGCGGCGUGCCUAACACAUGCAAGUCGAACGUCCUACGCAAGUAGGGAGUGGCGGACGGGUGAGUAACACGUGGGCAAUCUACCUUUCGGUGAGGAAUACCGGCGAGAAAUCGCCGACAAUACCGCAUACGCUUCGCAAGAAGCAAAGUCGCAAGACGCCGGAGGAGGAGCCUGCGCCCGAUUAGCUGGUUGGUGGAGUAAUGGUCUACCAAGGCGACGAUCGGUAGCUGGUCUGAGAGGACGAUCAGCCACACUGGGACUGAGACACGGCCCAGACUCCUACGGGAGGCAGCAGUAGGGAAUCUUGCGCAAUGCGCGAAAGCGUGACGCAGCAACGCCGCGUGGGGGAAGAAGGCUCUCGGGUUGUAAACCCCUUUCAGUUGGGACGAAGCUUCGUCGGUUAAUAGCCGGCUGGAGUGACGGUACCUUCACAAGAAGCACCGGCUAACUACGUGCCAGCAGCCGC
This 478-nucleotide ribosomal RNA is filed under the name uncultured bacterium. RNAcentral describes it as "SSU rRNA". It matches the Rfam family "Bacterial small subunit ribosomal RNA", at positions 26 to 518 of the family's 1533-position model. The record is from RNAcentral.